RNAcentral lists this ribosomal RNA (775 nucleotides) under uncultured bacterium. RNAcentral describes it as "bacterial SSU rRNA". It matches the Rfam family "Bacterial small subunit ribosomal RNA", at positions 70 to 861 of the family's 1533-position model. The record is from RNAcentral.
AAUGAAACCUAGUGAUUUAUCUGUUAGUGGCGGACGGGUGAGUAACGCGUGGGUAACCUGCCGUAUACAGGGGGAUAACACUUAGAAAUAGGUGCUAAUACCGCAUAAGCGCACAGCUUCGCAUGAAGCAGUGUGAAAAACUCCGGUGGUAUACGAUGGUUCCGCGUCUGAUUAGCUAGUUGGCGGGGUAACGGCCCACCAAGGCAGCGAUCAGUAGCCGGCCUGAGAGGGUGAACGGCCACAUUGGGACUGAGACACGGCCCAAACUCCUACGGGAGGCAGCAGUGGGGAAUAUUGCACAAUGGGGGAAACCCUGAUGCAGCGACGCCGCGUGAGUGAAGAAGUAUUUCGGUACGUAAAGCUCUAUCAGCAGGGAAGAAAAUGACGGUACCUGACUAAGAAGCCCCGGCUAACUACGUGCCAGCAGCCGCGGUAAUACGUAGGGGGCAAGCGUUAUCCGGAUUUACUGGGUGUAAAGGGAGCGUAGACGGCAGCGCAAGUCUGGAGUGAAAUGCCGGGGCCCAACCCCGGAACUGCUUUGGAAACUGUGCAGCUUGAGUGCGGGAGAGGUAAGUGGAAUUCCUAGUGUAGCGAUGAAAUGCGUAGAUAUUAGGAGGAACACCAGUGGCGAAGGCGGCUUACUGGACCGUAACUGACGUUGAGGCUCGAAAGCGUGGGGAGCAAACAGGAUUAGAUACCCUGGUAGUCCACGCCGUANACGAUGAUUACUAGGUGUCGGGGGACCAAGGUCCNCCGGUGCCGGCGCAAACGCAUU